AAUGCCGGAUGCUCCGACUCCUCGCAUGGGGUGUCGGGAAAGAUUUCAUCGGUAUGGGAUGGGGUCGCGUCCUAUCAGGUAGUCGGCGGGGUAACGGCCCACCGAGCCUACGACGGGUAGCCGGCCUGAGAGGGCGACCGGCCACAUUGGGACUGAGAUACGGCCCAGACUCCUACGGGAGGCAGCAGUGGGGAAUAUUGCACAAUGGGCGCAAGCCUGAUGCAGCGACGCCGCGUGCGGGAUGACGGCCUUCGGGUUGUAAACCGCUUUUGAUCGGGAGCAAGCCUUCGGGUGAGUGUACCUUUCGAAUAAGCACCGGCUAACUACGUGCCAGCAGCCGCGGUAAUACGUAGGGUGCAAGCGUUAUCCGGAAUUAUUGGGCGUAAAGGGCUCGUAGGCGGUUCGUCGCGUCCGGUGUGAAAGUCCAUCGCUUAACGGUGGAUCUGCGCCGGGUACGGGCGGGCUGGAGUGCGGUAGGGGAGACUGGAAUUCCCGGUGUAACGGUGGAAUGUGUAGAUAUCGGG
This 524-nucleotide ribosomal RNA is filed under the name Bifidobacterium pseudocatenulatum. RNAcentral describes it as "bacterial SSU rRNA". It matches the Rfam family "Bacterial small subunit ribosomal RNA", at positions 165 to 701 of the family's 1533-position model. The record is from RNAcentral. Lineage: Bacteria; Bacillati; Actinomycetota; Actinomycetes; Bifidobacteriales; Bifidobacteriaceae.